GUCAUUUCUUUUUCAUUUGAAUUCUCACUUAAAACUAAGUCAAACAAAUCUCCAAUUUAUCGCCUAAUGGUUUUGCUUAUGAGAUGCUCAAUUCAACAUAUUUGUUAAACCUUAAGUUACUAUGGCUUUAACCCAGUUCCCUUCCAUAUCCCGUCCAACAACUUCAACAUAAGGGCAACUUCUCCGCUCCUAUUUUUCUGAAAAAUCCCUCUUCUUCCGGAAUACACGAUAAUUUGAAUAGGCUCAUCCCCACGCUCAGUCAAAGCCAUCGCCUAUAAAAAAAUUAUCUAUUUAGGUUGUUCUUAUUAACAAAAGGUUGAUGGAAGAGGUGGUGAUUGAAACAUCGACAUCGCUCCCCUGUCAGGUAGUACCAGGUAAGAGCCCUAACGUUAUUUAUUUUUUCUAUCCCUAAAUAGUUACUAUAUUUUGUUAUUUUAUUUUUUAAGCUUUAUAUCACUUUUCGUUCUUGCACUUUGCGAUUUUCUGUAUUGGCCGAAGACAUAGCUUCAUCUCUCUCACUGUAAUCUCCAUGAAGAACCCUAGCUUAAGGCUCCCCGAGCUCCCCUGACCAUGGAUGUUUUGAGACAGCGACAACGCUCCUCCAUCUCUAUCUGUAAAAAAAUAACACCUACGAGCCACCACCACAAUUAAAUAAACAAAUAACGAUGUUGAUGAUCUCAGUCUUAAUUAAAAGGUAACGUCUUUCAUUCAUUUAUGCUAUUAAAUAAACAAAUAACGAUUUCGGAUUGCAAAAGGAAACUUGAACGGCUGUGUUCCCAAAAUGGAACAAUCUGGUAGGCUUUUUCAAAUAGUUGCCAUGAAGAAUACCCAUAUUGGUAUGAUUUUUUUCAUUUUGUUCUUUAAUCAUUUAUUCUAUUUUCUUUUGGAAUACCCUUUGUUUUUGUUCAUUUGAUUCACAAGUUGAAAUUUUUAUGUUUCCAAGGUUAAUAUCACAGUUCAUGCUUCCAAAUUAUUAGGUUUGGGGAAGAAAUUUUUCCUCAAAUUUGAAUUUUAAGAGAAGAUUGAUUAUUUCAUCUUAUGUAGCAUCUUCAUAUCCAAAUCUUGGAAAAUGAACCCAGGGCUCCACUAUAAGAGGAGUCACAACAAGAUAAGAAACUUUUUCUCUCCUGAACUUCAUUAAGGUAAAUUGUAUUAUCUACUGAAAUUUGUAUAGUUUAUUACAUCAUUUUUGACUAAUUGAAAAUGAUGUUUUUGUUUUUCCAUGAAGGAGAUGUUAAUCAGGUGGAGCUGGUGGUAACUUCAAGUAAUCAAAUUUAGUCAUUGGAUUUGUUAUUUAUGUUUCCCAUUGUUUUCUAAACGUAUCCCAUAUUACUUAAUAUGUUUUUAUCUUGUGGAUCAAAAUAAGCAUUUACCAGUUCUUACUAGAACACUAUUGGCCAAUUUUGCAGGUUGUCAUACACUCAACAUUGCUAACUGAUGGAGAGUAUGACUGGCCAACAACAUGUGAGUAUGUCAUUUCUCCUGGAACAUGCUAACAUUUUUGUCAAGAAUGGUUUUGUCAUGGGCUUUGUUUUCAUCUAUUGUAGGUUUGGGUGUUGGUAUCUUUAAUGGAACACUUAUAAAUGUAGUUACUCAUUACUAACACCAUCACACCAUUAAACAACACAUUAUUCACCUCCACUUCCGACUAUAAAGAAAAAAGAAGAAUAAUAAAGAGCAACAUAUGUGAGAUUUAGUCGAUUAUUCUAAAUAGACAUUAUUAGUUAAAUCACAUGGAACAACAUACAUGAAAACCACACCAUCUAACCUUUAUUUAGAAGCUCUAACCUCAGUUAUCAUUUCUGUUUUGGUCAUAAAAGUUCCGAAAUUUCACCGUUUGAUCUUGAUUUCAUCACAUCCGCCUUUUGAUUGGUGUUGUUGAUGUUGAAUUAACCGAAGACCCUGAUAUUCCAUUCCAUCCAGGAAGGCAGGUUAGAGACUAAAAAGUUUUUGUUAUGGUAAUUUAUUUUUCAUUUAUCAAGGAACUGAUGUUGUUCAUUCAAAAUAGGAUUGCAGUGAAUGCAUAUUAGUUAUCCAAAAACUCAAAAGGUUGUAGAGGUGGUCCGCAGACUUCAUGAACUUUCGCUUCGAAAAGACAACACCACCUAAAUCAGUGUAAUCAAUACCACGAAUAUGAGUGUAGCCUUUAGCUACUAUCGAAGCUUUGUACCUUGGUUUCUCAUAUGGGUUGACAGAUUCCUUGAGCUUGUAGACCCACUUGCAUUUGACUGGUCUUCUUUCUUUCAAAAUAAGAACUUAAUCCUAAGUUAUGCAAGGACUCCAUAUCACCUUGCAUUGCAAUCAUCCAAUCACUUAAGUGUUUAGACUUAAUAUCAUCAGGAACAAAAAAGGAAUAAGCAACAAGAUCAGCUUCACCAUACGUCUUUGGAGGUACAAAUUCUCUUCUAGGUCUAUCUCAUGCAAUGCAUGGAGGAGUGGCUCAUGGUGGUGAAGAUGUUAACUCUUCAACAACAACGAGAUCAUCAGACAAGGAAGUUUCUUGAUUUUUCUAUAGAACAUGGAAUAGAAGUGGAAGGUGAAGUAGGAAGCUCCACCACCAUUUGAGAUUUCUCUUUACUUGCUUUGGAUGACACAUAUGUACUUUUAAAGGAGUUGAAAACUGGUUGAAUCUUGAGAUAAUAACAUUCUUUAGAUCUGAUCUCCAUACACCCUUGUACAUCCGAAUUGUACCUAAUAAAAACACAUUUGAUUGCUCUCGGUUCUAACUUCCCAUUAUCAACUUGU
Non-coding RNA from Lactuca sativa (garden lettuce), 2745 nucleotides. The record is from RefSeq and is a predicted model, not a curated record. NCBI's taxonomy places the organism in Eukaryota, Viridiplantae, Streptophyta, Magnoliopsida, Asterales, Asteraceae.